UACAGAGGCCUCGAGCGUUAGGCGGAAUCACUGGGCUUAAAGCGUGUGUAGGCGGAUCGUUAAGUACCUUGUGAAGUCCCACGGCUUAACCGUGGAACUGCUGGGUAUACUGGCGAUCUUGAGCCAUCUAGGGGCGAGCGGAACAAAUGGUGGAGCGGUGAAAUGCGUAGAUAUCCGGAGGAACACCGGUGGCGAAGGCGGCUUCCUGGACCGACACUGACGCUGAGGCGCGAAAGCGUGGGGAGCAAACAGG
RNAcentral lists this ribosomal RNA (253 nucleotides) under uncultured bacterium. RNAcentral's name for it is "partial 16S ribosomal RNA". It matches the Rfam family "Bacterial small subunit ribosomal RNA", at positions 524 to 776 of the family's 1533-position model. The record is from RNAcentral.